Molecule: ribosomal RNA, 213 nt
Filed under: uncultured bacterium
Lineage: Bacteria
Description: partial 16S ribosomal RNA
Rfam family: Bacterial small subunit ribosomal RNA
Source: RNAcentral
UACGUAGGGUGCGAGCGUUAAUCGGAAUUACUGGGCGUAAAGGGUGCGCAGGUGGGUCCAUUUAAGUCUGAUGUGAAAGCCCACGGCUCAACCGUGGAGGGUCAUUGGAAACUGGGGGACUUGAGUGCAGGAGAGAAAAGUGGAAUUCCACGUGGUAGCGGAUUGAAUGACGUAGAGAAUGUGGAGGAACACCAGUGGCGAAGGCGACUUUUG